RNAcentral lists this transfer RNA (73 nucleotides) under marine sediment metagenome. RNAcentral describes it as "tRNA-Thr". It matches the Rfam family "tRNA". Rfam says of the family: Transfer RNA (tRNA) molecules are approximately 80 nucleotides in length. Their secondary structure includes four short double-helical elements and three loops (D, anti-codon, and T loops). The record is from RNAcentral.
GGGUAUGAAGCACGAUUGGAAGUGCACCAACCUUGUAAGUUGGAUUUAGCGGGUUCGAAUCCCGUCAUGCCCU